AGUGAACGCUGGCGGUAUGCCUAACACAUGCAAGUCGAACGGCAGCACAGUAAGAGCUUGCUCUUACGGGUGGCGAGUGGCGGACGGGUGAGGAAUACAUCGGAUUCUACUUUUUCGUGGGGGAUAACGUAGGGAAACUUAUGCUAAUACCGCAUACGACCUACGGGUGAAAGCAGGGGAUCUUCGGACUUUUCGCGACUGAAUGAGCCGAUGUCGGAUUAGCUAGUUGGCGGGGUAAAGGCCCACCAAGGCGACGAUCCGUAGCUGGUCUGAGAGGAUGAUCAGCCACACUGGAACUGAGACACGGUCCAGACUCCUACGGGAGGCAGCAGUGGGGAAUAUUGGACAAUGGGCGCAAGCCUGAUCCAGCCAUACCGCGUGAGUGAUGAAGGCCUUCGGGUUGUAAAGCCCUUUUGUUGGGAAAGAAAAGCAGCAGGUUAAUACCCGGCUGUUCUGACGGUACCCAAAGAAUAAGCACCGGCUAACUUCGUG
Molecule: ribosomal RNA, 492 nt
Filed under: uncultured bacterium
Lineage: Bacteria
Description: partial 16S ribosomal RNA
Rfam family: Bacterial small subunit ribosomal RNA
Source: RNAcentral